GCGAUGCUACGCGGAGGGACAUUACAGAGCUGCAAAACUCCCUAAACCAUCGUGAACGCUACCUAAACCGUUGCUUCGGCGGGCGGCGCCCUCGCGCGCCCCCCCUGGGGCCCGCACCGCGGGCGCCCGCCGGAGGUACACCAAACUCUUGAUAUGUUAUGGCCACUCUGAGUCUCCUGUACUGAAUAAGUCAAAACUUUCAACAACGGAUCUCUUGGUUCUGGCAUCGAUGAAGAACGCAGCGAAAUGCGAUAAGUAAUGUGAAUUGCAGAAUUCAGUGAAUCAUCGAAUCUUUGAACGCACAUUGCGCCCGCCAGCAUCCUGGCGGGCAUGCCUGUUCGAGCGUCAUUUCAACCCAUCAAGCCCACGGCUUGUGUUGGGGACCUGCGGCUGCCCGCAGGCCCUGAAAACCAGUGGCGGGCUCGCUAGUCACACCGGGCGUAGUAGCAUACGACCUCGCUCAGGGCGUGCUGCGGGUUCCAGCCGUAAAACGACCUUCACAACCCAAGGUUGACCUCGGAUCAGGUAGGAGGACCCGCUGAACUUAAGCAUAUCAAUAGCCGGGAGGAAAGAGCC
RNAcentral lists this ribosomal RNA (576 nucleotides) under Thermothelomyces thermophilus. RNAcentral's name for it is "eukaryotic LSU rRNA". The stretch from base 195 to 348 matches the Rfam family "5.8S ribosomal RNA". The record is from RNAcentral. Lineage: Eukaryota; Fungi; Ascomycota; Sordariomycetes; Sordariales; Chaetomiaceae.